Molecule: ribosomal RNA, 467 nt
Filed under: uncultured bacterium
Lineage: Bacteria
Description: partial 16S ribosomal RNA
Rfam family: Bacterial small subunit ribosomal RNA
Source: RNAcentral
GACGAACGCUGGCGGCGUGCUUAACACAUGCAAGUCGAACGGAAAGGCCCUGCUUUUGUGGGGUGCUCGAGUGGCGAACGGGUGAGUAACACGUGAGUAACCUGCCCUUGACUUUGGGAUAACUUCAGGAAACUGGGGCUAAUACCGGAUAGGAGCUCCUGCUGCAUGGUGGGGGUUGGAAAGUUUCGGCGGUUGGGGAUGGACUCGCGGCUUAUCAGCUUGUUGGUGGGGUAGUGGCUUACCAAGGCUUUGACGGGUAGCCGGCCUGGGAGGGUGACCGGCAACUUUGGACUGGGGUACGGGCCAGGCCUCCUACGGGGGCAAGCGUUGGGGAAUAUUGCAAAAUGGGCGGAGCCUGAUGCCAGCAACGCCGCUUGGGGAAGAACGGCUUCGGGUUGUAAACCGCUUUCGCCUGUGACGAAGCGUGAGUGACGGUAAUGGGUAAAGAAGCACCGGCUAACUACGUG